Molecule: ribosomal RNA, 374 nt
Filed under: uncultured Wolbachia sp.
Lineage: Bacteria; Pseudomonadati; Pseudomonadota; Alphaproteobacteria; Rickettsiales; Anaplasmataceae
Description: bacterial SSU rRNA
Source: RNAcentral
CCGGAUUUUACACAAGUGUUGCAUGGCUGUCGUCAGCUCGUGUCGUGAGAUGUUGGGUUAAGUCCCGCAACGAGCGCAACCCUCAUCCUUAGUUGCUAUCAGGUAAUGCUGAGUACUUUAAGGAAACUGCCAGUGAUAAGCUGGAGGAAGGUGGGGAUGAUGUCAAGUCAUCAUGGCCUUUAUGGRGUGGGCUACACACGUGCUACAAUGGUGUCUACAAUGGGCUGCAAGGUGCGCAAGCCUAAGCUAAUCCCUAAAAGACAUCUCAGUUCGGAUUGUACUCUGCAACUCGAGUACAUGAAGUUGGAAUCGCUAGUAAUCGUGGAUCAGCAUGCCACGGUGAAUACGUUCUCGGGUCUUGUACACACUGCCCG